CCGGGUGAAGGGAAAGGGAGAUCUUUAGUGUUGUGCAAGGAAUGUUGGAUAGCUGUCCCUAGUCUCUGCAAAAGGAAGGUUUUGACGCUGUGUGGUGCUUCAGAGCAAAACAGUACAGUUUAUUGUCGCAACAUAAACCAUGUCAGUAGAAGACCGUAGUUGGAUGUACCAAGGCUGGAAGGACAAUGGUUGCCAUUCUCAGGAAUGGGUGCGAAAUACUAAUGCUUUUCUAGACCGUGCUUUUAGCAAUGUUCCUAACUCUGAAAAAUUUGGAGUAGUGUGUCCAUGUUUAGAUUGUGUCAAUAGAGUUAGACGGAGGAGACCUGUCAUAGGUGUGCAUUUGUGUAAAAGAGGAUUUAUGCCUGGGUAUAGACUGAACAUGGGGCGAGCACCCUGUUAGUGAUCCUACAUUAUUUUUUAGAUAGUAUAAUGUACUAGUAGUGUACAUGUGUGACCUGCUGCUCCCUUAUAUAAAUUGGUAUAUUCUCUGAGUUUAGUUAGUCCA
Molecule: long non-coding RNA, 505 nt
Organism: Sorghum bicolor (sorghum)
Lineage: Eukaryota; Viridiplantae; Streptophyta; Magnoliopsida; Poales; Poaceae
Exons: 2
Source: RefSeq, a predicted model, not a curated record